AACGCUAGCUACAGGCUUAACACAUGCAAGUCGAGGGGAAACGACAUCGAAAGCUUGCUUUUGAUGGGCGUCGACCGGCGCACGGGUGAGUAACGCGUAUCCAACCUGCCCACCACUUGGGGAUGACCUUGCGAAAGUAAGACUAAUACCCAAUGAUAUCCCACGAAGGCAUCCGAAUGGGAUUAAAGAUUUAUCGGUGAUGGAUGGGGAUGCGUCUGAUUAGCUUGUUGGCGGGGUAACGGCCCACCAAGGCUACGAUCAGUAGGGGUUCUGAGAGGAAGGUCCCCCACAUUGGAACUGAGACACGGUCCAAACUCCUACGGGAGGCAGCAGUGAGGAAUAUUGGUCAAUGGGCGAGAGCCCGAACCAGCCAAGUAGCGUGCAGGAUGACGGCCCUAUGGGUUGUAAACUGCUUUUAUAAGGGAAUAAAGUGAGUCUCGUGAGACUUUUUGCAUGUACCUUAUGAAUAAGGACCGGCUAAUUCCGUGCCAGCAGCCGCGGUAAUACGGAAGGUCCGGGCGUUAUCCGGAUUUAUUGGGUUUAAAGGGAGCGUAGGCCGGAGAUUAAGCGUGUUGUGAAAUGUAGACGCUCAACGUCUGCACUGCAGCGCGAACUGGUUUCCUUGAGUACGCACAAAGUGGGCGGAAUUCGUGGUGUAGCGGUGAAAUGCUUAGAUAUCACGAAGAACUCCGAUUG
This 696-nucleotide ribosomal RNA is filed under the name uncultured bacterium. Its description in RNAcentral is "bacterial SSU rRNA". It matches the Rfam family "Bacterial small subunit ribosomal RNA", at positions 32 to 715 of the family's 1533-position model. The record is from RNAcentral.